This is a long non-coding RNA of Xenopus tropicalis (tropical clawed frog), 1241 nucleotides long. RefSeq lists it as uncharacterized. The transcript is spliced from 3 exons. The record is from RefSeq and is a predicted model, not a curated record. NCBI's taxonomy places the organism in Eukaryota, Metazoa, Chordata, Amphibia, Anura, Pipidae.
GGAAGAACAAACAUAUCCAGGAAUUUAGUGGCCUAUAGCAACCACUGAAUACAAGUAAAAAAUCAAUGUGAGACUAUACAGAAGUUCUAUGGGGCUGCACAACUACUACUCCCAGCAGUCCCAAGUAACUAUUGGCAUAGUUUAGGGGCGACUAAAGGGCAACUUUUAGGUCAGUAUGGGCACCAUACUCACAGCACAUAUAGUGUCUGUUCUGCCCAGGUCAGUACGGGCACCAUACUCACAGCACAUAUAGUGUCUGUUCUGCCCAGGUCAGUACGGGCACCAUACUCACAGCACAUAUAGUGUCUGUUCUGCCCAGGUCAGUAUGGGCACCAUACUCACAGCACAUAUAGUGUCUGUUCUGCCCAGGUCAGUACAGGCACCAUACUCACAGCACACAGUGUCUGUUCUGCCCAGGUCAGUACGGGCACCAUACUCACAGCACAUAUAGUGUCUGUUCUGCCCAGGUCAGUACGGGCACCAUACUCACAGCACAUAUAGUGUCUGUUCUGCCCAGGUCAAUACGGGCACCAUACUCACAGCACAUAUAGUGUCUGUUCUGCCCAGGUCAGUACGGGCACCAUACUCACAGCACAUAUAGUGUCUGUUCUGCCCAGGUCAGUACGGGCACCAUACUCACAGCACACAGUGUCUGUUCUGCCCAGGUCAGUACGGGCACCAUACUCACAGCACAAAGUGUCUGUUCUGCCCAGGUCAGUACGGGCACCAUACUCACAGCACAUAUAGAGUCUGUUCUGCCCAGGUCAGUACAGGCACCAUACUGUUCUGCCCAGGUCAGUACGGGCACCAUACUCACAGCACAUAUAGUGUCUGUUCUGCCCAGGUCAGUACGGGCACCAUACUCACAGCACAUAUAGUGUCUGUUCUGCCCAGGUCAGUACGGGCACCAUACUCACAGCACAUAUAGUGUCUGUUCUGCCCAGGUCAGUACGGGCACCAUACUCACAGCACACAGUGUCUGUUCUGCUCAGGUCAGUACGGGCACCAUACUCACAGCACAUAUAGUGUCUGUUCUGCCCAGGUCAGUACGGGCAACAUACUCACAGCACACAGUGUCUGUUCUGCCCAGGUCAGUACGGGCACCAUACUCACAGCACAUAUAGUGUCUGUUCUGCCCAGGUCAGUACGGGCAACAUACUCACAGCACACAGUGUCUGUUCUGCCCAGGUCAGUACGGGCACCAUACUCACAGCACAUAGUGUCUUCAGCGCAAACUUAUC